CUCCUCUCUACUAAUUAAUUAAUAUACAAGUAAGUACUAAUAAGCCUGAACCGGGCCGGUCCGGUACAGAGAAUGAUCAAUUGUAGUAAACCGAGAUCGGCAAUUACAUACAUUGGGGGAAGGAAGGAAGAAGGCGAAUUAGAAAGGAGAAAGCGUUUCUUCUAGAUCCAUGGAUUCGUCGUCCAUCACAAGAAGAAGAAGAAGAAGAAGAAGCUAAGAAGAAAGCUUCGAGAUUUCAAAUCCAUAAUAAUUCAGGGCUUUGAUUGAUUUGCUACCAAGUUGUUUAAUUGAUGAUCAGAGAGAUCUGUUUUUAGUCUUCUUCAUUCGCAAAUAUCUGGAAUCAUCAUCAAAGCUCUCUCUUGUGCUUAGCUAAUGUGUGUGUUCUUGAGCCCAUCAUCAUAAUGAUGAGUGACUCUCAGCGAUCACUUUCUGUGCGCUUGAGCCGCCGGGGUGAAAGGACCUCUCUUCAUUACCCUCAAUCUAAAGAUGAUGGAGAGGCAGGGUUCUUCUCUCCGUCCAGACUUCACACUGACUACACUUU
Non-coding RNA from Camelina sativa (false flax), 541 nucleotides. NCBI's taxonomy places the organism in Eukaryota, Viridiplantae, Streptophyta, Magnoliopsida, Brassicales, Brassicaceae. The record is from RefSeq and is a predicted model, not a curated record.